This 532-nucleotide ribosomal RNA is filed under the name uncultured bacterium. RNAcentral describes it as "bacterial SSU rRNA". It matches the Rfam family "Bacterial small subunit ribosomal RNA", at positions 777 to 1317 of the family's 1533-position model. The record is from RNAcentral.
AAUAGAUACCCUGGUAGUCCACGCCGUAAACGAUGCUAACUCGUUUUUGGGCCUUUGGGUUCAGAGACUAAGCGAAAGUGAUAAGUUAGUCACCUGGGGAGUACGUUCGCAAGAAUGAAACUCAAAGGAAUUGACGGGGGCCCGCACAAGCGGUGGAUUAUGUGGUUUAAUUCGAUGAUACGCGAGGAACCUUACCAAGGCUUAAAUGGGAAAUGACAGGCUUAGAAAUAGGCUUUUCUUCGGACAUUUUUCAAGGUGCUGCAUGGUUGUCGUCAGCUCGUGCCGUGAGGUGUUAGGUUAAGUCCUGCAACGAGCGCAACCCCCUGUCACUAGUUGCCAUCAUUAAGUUGGGGACUCUAGUGAGACUGCCUACGCAAGUAGAGAGGAAGGUGGGGAUGACGUCAAAUCAUCACGGCCCUUACGCCUUGGGCCACACACGUAAUCAAUGGCCAGUACAGAGGGCAGCUACACAGCGAUGUGAUGCAAAUCUCGAAAGCUGGUCUCAGUUCGGAUUGGAGUCUGCAACUCGACU